RNAcentral lists this long non-coding RNA (748 nucleotides) under Sarcophilus harrisii (Tasmanian devil). Its description in RNAcentral is "lncRNA (ENSSHAG00000028057.1)". The record is from RNAcentral. Lineage: Eukaryota; Metazoa; Chordata; Mammalia; Dasyuromorphia; Dasyuridae.
CGGCACGAUUCCCCACGACACAGGGCCGGGUACUGCGCCCCAGAAAGCCCAAAAUGAAACACUGUCUCCUCCAGGGAUUUACGUUCUCCCGGCUGAGGGAUUUAAAAGUAAACUUGCACCGGCAUUAGCAGCUUGGGAUGAGGAAAGGCUGCCCAGAGGCAGCUCAGGAGCUGAGCCUUAAAGGGAAUUAUGGGUCCUAGCCGCUGUCCGAGGGCUAGGUGGAGGGCACUCCAGGUGUGGAGCUAAGACAAUAAUUAAUGAAGGAGUUGCCUUAAUCUGGGGCCGGGGAGAUGGCGAUGUCAAUUAAAAAGCUUCAGCGAUGGCCGACGAGGAUUCCGAGGCGUCCAGCCGUUGCCCGGCUCCGCUACUCGUCCCUGUCUUCCCGCCUCUCCGAAAUUGGCUCAUAAACCCGGCUCGCGCGACGUCUCUAACCGGCAGCCCUUGCGUUAAGAAGGCCCGAUUUCAUAUCCCUCCCUACCUCCGGCUUCCCUGGACUUUCUCAGGAGGAACUCAACUUUAAAACUGAGGAGUUGGAUGAACCAGCCCUUCCUCUUUUCUAACCAUACUCAAGGUCUUUCUGAAAUUCUCUUUCUUCCACUAUAAAAUUAGGGAAUAGGGCUAGGUAACCUCUAGAUUUUCUUUCUGCCCUGAAUCUGUGAUUACAAAGGUUCUGAUUUCCAUUCUCUCAUAACUGAUCCUUAAAAUAACUCUGGAAGACAGAAAUAACAAAAGCUAAUAGAACCUUUUG